GACCUCAGAAGGUGACAUGAUAUUUGUAUGUGGAUUAAAGCAAAGCCCAAGAACUACUGGAAUCUUAAAGAACAAAUAAGCUGGGUUUCUGGAAGCUUGGGAGAGGAAACCAUAAACCAGAUCAGAUCUAACCACCAGCACAUGCUCAAUGGCAGAGUGAUUUUGUUGUCUAACGGUCAGCUUUACACUCACCGAAGGGAGGCUGUCGAACUCAUUUUUUCCAGUAACUACGGCAGGCUCAGGACCUAGGGAUUAAGGACUCUUCCAAGGCCAAAUAUGUGUUUGGGAGCUGAAAAGUUAAGGGAUGGAUCCUCCAAAAGUAAAAGAACCUGUGUGGGACAAAAACCUAAAAAUGACCCUGAAGGCAGUUCUACUGUCUCAAAAAACGAAGGGCUCAGCCAAUGUGAAGUGCUGGUAGGAGCCCUCCUUGCCUGGCUAUAGUUUGGCCAUGACCUUCCUCUACUUGUGGCCAUGCUCCUGUCAGGGACCUCAUUCCUACAGUGAUUUUUGAGUGGCUUCCGCGUACCAAGAACUAUGGGGAUGUAAAAAAUGUAACAUCCUUCACUUAGAUAUUAGUUGGAAAGACAAGAGAGCUAUGUAACAAUGCAAGGAGCAACAAUGAAAGGUAAGAGCCAAAAUGAUUGACAGAGACAAGUGCUCAGGAACCCAGAGGUGGAGAAGUGCAGUGCAGGCUGAACCAAAAGCAGAACUUCUCAUGGGGGGAUAACUUGGGCUGGGUGUUUUCAUUUCAUUCGAUAAAAGAAUUAAGGCAUUUCCUCAAAAGCACAUAAAAUAUGAUGAAAGAGAAAUGGAAAUAAGGAAUAACUUUCAGAGAAAAUAAAAAUAAAGUAGAAAACUAAAACCGUGUCAAACAACAACAUAAGAUCACAAACCAAGAAGGCCACUAUAUUUGCUAUAGUUGAUCUUCAGGUUUGAUGGUGAAUUUCCUGGAAGUUAAAGAAAAAAGAGAGGCAUAAUUAUUAAUAUAGAGAGGGAAACAUUUCCUUGGGGAAGUUAAAUUUUUCUAACACUGAAUUUUAAAAAUUUAUCAUGUGUGACUUUGCAGAGGGAUCACUGAGUGAUUUACAGAACAUAAAGUGUUUGACAGUGUAUCUAUAGCAGGAGUAGUGAUCUAAUUUGUGUGUUGAUAUUUUUGAUGGAAGUUUUUAACAAAAGUCAAGGGUGUAACACUAAAAGGCAACUCACUAAAUUCAACUGAAUGAGGGUUUAAGGAAAUAUAGUCCAAGUUAAAAAAAAUAAGGACGAGAGUGGGGCUUCAGCCCUGAUCCGUGGGUAGGAUUUAUAAUAUCCCAAAGGUCAUCAGUAACUGUCACCUCUCUCAGGUGUUCCUUUGAUAGGAGUUGAGACUGGAACGCAAGAUCCUCUGGCUGCGAUCCUGGUGUGCUGUGUGUUUGAUUGAGGAGUGAUUAACAAUACCUUUAAGAGUUUUUAAUGAAGUUCACAUUCCCUGUUGUAAUGCAAAAGCUUCCACAUUUUCUCACGGGCAUUAACAACAAUCACUACUUUAUACUUAGCAAGUAAUUUAUAUUUUUGCAAGUAAAUCUACUUCCAGUUUGACAAUCACGCUCUUGGAUUGCAGAAUAUUGAUGUAGACUGGUCCUUAGACACGAUGAACGGAGCUUCUCUUUGUAAUGGGUAAGAGACAAGCAAACGUCGUGUGGAAGGUCAGCACGAAAUGCAAAUACUCUCUCUCAGGGUCAGAGCCUGCUGCUACAGGAGGAGGCUGAAGGCACCAGCGACACAUCGUUUUUCAUGAGUUCAUGACACCACGGGCUUUGAAGAUGAAGCUAUGCCAUGUGUCAGUGUUAGAACCAGCCCAGCCAAGCUGACUGCCUCAUCCCUCUGUUUCUAAGACUUUUGCCUAGAGACUUCAGGGGAUAAUAUUUGAGCAGGAAUAAUAGGGGAUAAUAGUAUGAGCAGGAAUUACCACUGGAGAAAGAAAUUCAAGGGAUUAGUCAGUUUAAGCGUUUGAUCUUUAAAGUUCUGAGGAUCAGAAGGCUGAGCAUACUGAUAAUAUAAGUCCAAUAGGGUGCAAAUUGUUAACAUAGUAGGUUCUUAACAUUGAAAGAUUUAACGUUUGUCGGUUUGACACAUUGUAACACAAUAGAAUAACGGCAGUUAAUUUUGGGGAAACGCGAACUUGAAUCAAGUGUGUAAUACAGCUGUGUAGCAGAGCGUCACCUACUAAUAACUGAGCCUAUAGCAGAUCCAAGGCACAGGAACGUGUGGUUUUUGUCCUCUACUUGUGCCACAUAGAAUUACAUUAAAUGAUGAGAAACACUUGCUCGAGGAAUUUGUAAUAGUAACUAUAAACUGGAAACAACUUAUAAGUCUACCAAUAGGGAGUAUUUACACUGAUACUAUAGACUAUUAGGGAGCUCUUAAAAAAAGGAUAAUAGUGAAAAGGAACUUGCCUUACCAGAAAUUACUUACUAUCAAACUACAGCAAUCAAACUGCAAGCUACUGGCAGAGUAAUAUAAAAACAAAUUAUUAAGUAGAAUAGAGUGUCCAGAAAUAGAUCCAAGCAAAUCUGAGGAAUUAAUCUGUGAUGGUUUAGUUCAUAGUGGUGCUGGCAUAAUUGGAUAUUUAUUCAGAAGAAACCACCUCAUACCAUGUAAAAUAAAUCCCAAAUGGAUUAAAUAUUUAAGAGUAAAAAGAAUAUAAUAAAAUAUUAUAACAAUAUAUAAGAAAAUAUUUGUGGAAACUCCCAGGUGGGAGAAACUCUCUUAAGAAACACUGGAAACUCAGAUGCCAUAAGGAAAAGACUGACCAAUUUGCUGAGUAAAUAAUUUUGGGUGGCACGUUCUACCCUAGUCAGAUUCACAAGACUGAGGGAAAUAUUUGCAUGCAUAUGUCAGCAAAGGAUCAAAGGCUUCAAAACAUAGAGGUAUGAAUAUAAAGAUGCUUAUGUUAGCAUUGUUUGAAGAGGAAACAUUUUGGAAACAACCUGAACAUCAAUCAAUGGGGGAAUGGUUGAAUGACUUAUGGUAUGAUCAUGAUAUGACUGUUAUCCAGAAAUUAAAGAAAAUGAGUUAGACUCAUAUAUUACCCAAGAAAGACGGCCAUAA
Long non-coding RNA from Equus caballus (horse), 3090 nucleotides. The record is from Ensembl. NCBI's taxonomy places the organism in Eukaryota, Metazoa, Chordata, Mammalia, Perissodactyla, Equidae.